AAGUCGUAACAAGGUUUCCGUAGGUGAACCUGCGGAAGGAUCAUUAACACGUAUCCACGUCACACCUCUGUGCACUCGUUUUCACUCUCCCUCUCACACACACGAAUUGGCGCUACGACUCUGCUGCUGCAUUGGUUGGGACGUCUCCUUGACUGCUCGCAGUCGGGACCGUCACAUCAGCGAGUCGGACACGGGAUCGUUCGCGGUCUUCAAACAAUUGCAGUGCGCUGAGAGGCGAAUUCUCAUUCUGUACACUCCCCUUCCAAGAGAGUCAGAGUGGGAGAUUAUCAUUCACACAUUUCACACCCUUUUUGCUAGUUGACUUUUCUACUGUAGUGUCUGCGAUUCUUAAUCGACUCACAGCAUUGCACGUUUAAUCUAUUUGAACGUUAAUGAAACAACUCUUAGCAAUGGAUAUCUAGGUUCUC
RNAcentral lists this unclassified non-coding RNA (428 nucleotides) under fungal sp. RNAcentral's name for it is "partial internal transcribed spacer region". The stretch from base 1 to 46 matches the Rfam family "Eukaryotic small subunit ribosomal RNA", at positions 1786 to 1831 of the family's 1831-position model. The record is from RNAcentral. Lineage: Eukaryota; Fungi.